CUGAAUGCAUCAAACCACGAAUAUAGUAUCCCAACUAAUGCGUGGAAGGAUAAACUUACUGACCUAUAUAAAGCAAUUAGGACAAGAGAUAAAUUAUUUGUGGUCAUGACAGUAAUGCAGUUGAUUUGUAUAUCAGUGGCAGUUGCAUUCAUUGUUCUGCAUUUCAAAGGAGAACAUGGACAAAAGGGACAACAGGGAAGACUGGGAGAAUCAGGAAAAAAAUGGACUUGUUCGGAUGGAUGGGAACAGUUUAUGGGCAGUUGCUAUUACUUUCAAUUCGGAUCA
Molecule: long non-coding RNA, 285 nt
Organism: Mytilus californianus (California mussel)
Lineage: Eukaryota; Metazoa; Mollusca; Bivalvia; Mytilida; Mytilidae
Exons: 3
Source: RefSeq, a predicted model, not a curated record